AAAUUGAAGAGUUUGAUCAUGGCUCAGAUUGAACGCUGGCGGCAGGCCUAACACAUGCAAGUCGAGCGGUAGCACAGAGAGCUUGCUCUCGGGUGACGAGCGGCGGACGGGUGAGUAAUGUCUGGGAAACUGCCUGAUGGAGGGGGGAUAACUACUGGAAACGGUAGCUAAUACCGCAUAACGUCGCAAGACCAAAGUGGGGGACCUUCGGGCCUCAUGCCAUCAGAUGUGCCCAGAUGGGAUUAGCUAGUAGGUGGGGUAACGGCUCACCUAGGCGACGAUCCCUAGCUGGUCUGAGAGGAUGACCAGCCACACUGGAACUGAGACACGGUCCAGACUCCUACGGGAGGCAGCAGUGGGGAAUAUUGCACAAUGGGCGCAAGCCUGAUGCAGCCAUGCCGCGUGUGUGAAGAAGGCCUUCGGGUUGUAAAGCACUUUCAGCGGGGAGGAAGGCGUUAAGGUUAAUAACCUUGGCGAUUGACGUUACCCGCAGAAGAAGCACCGGCUAACUCCGUGCCAGCAGCCGCGGUAAUACGGAGGGUGCAAGCGUUAAUCGGAAUUACUGGGCGUAAAGCGCACGCAGGCGGUCUGUCAAGUCGGAUGUGAAAUCCCCGGGCUCAACCUGGGAACUGCAUUCGAAACUGGCAGGCUAGAGUCUUGUAGAGGGGGGUAGAAUUCCAGGUGUAGCGGUGAAAUGCGUAGAGAUCUGGAGGAAUACCGGUGGCGAAGGCGGCCCCCUGGACAAAGACUGACGCUCAGGUGCGAAAGCGUGGGGAGCAAACAGGAUUAGAUACCCUGGUAGUCCACGCCGUAAACGAUGUCGAUUUGGAGGUUGUGCCCUUGAGGCGUGGCUUCCGGAGCUAACGCGUUAAAUCGACCGCCUGGGGAGUACGGCCGCAAGGUUAAAACUCAAAUGAAUUGACGGGGGCCCGCACAAGCGGUGGAGCAUGUGGUUUAAUUCGAUGCAACGCGAAGAACCUUACCUGGUCUUGACAUCCACAGAACUUAGCAGAGAUGCUUUGGUGCCUUCGGGAACUGUGAGACAGGUGCUGCAUGGCUGUCGUCAGCUCGUGUUGUGAAAUGUUGGGUUAAGUCCCGCAACGAGCGCAACCCUUAUCCUUUGUUGCCAGCGGUUAGGCCGGGAACUCAAAGGAGACUGCCAGUGAUAAACUGGAGGAAGGUGGGGAUGACGUCAAGUCAUCAUGGCCCUUACGACCAGGGCUACACACGUGCUACAAUGGCAUAUACAAAGAGAAGCGACCUCGCGAGAGCAAGCGGACCUCAUAAAGUAUGUCGUAGUCCGGAUUGGAGUCUGCAACUCGACUCCAUGAAGUCGGAAUCGCUAGUAAUCGUAGAUCAGAAUGCUACGGUGAAUACGUUCCCGGGCCUUGUACACACCGCCCGUCACACCAUGGGAGUGGGUUGCAAAAGAAGUAGGUAGCUUAACCUUCGGGAGGGCGCUUACCACUUUGUGAUUCAUGACUGGGGUGAAGUCGUAACAAGGUAACCGUAGGGGAACCUGCGGUUGGAUCACCUCCUUA
This 1541-nucleotide ribosomal RNA is filed under the name Klebsiella pneumoniae. RNAcentral describes it as "bacterial SSU rRNA". It matches the Rfam family "Bacterial small subunit ribosomal RNA". Lineage: Bacteria; Pseudomonadati; Pseudomonadota; Gammaproteobacteria; Enterobacterales; Enterobacteriaceae. The record is from RNAcentral.